Non-coding RNA from Paramuricea clavata, 499 nucleotides. The record is from the annotation of a GenBank genome assembly. NCBI's taxonomy places the organism in Eukaryota, Metazoa, Cnidaria, Anthozoa, Malacalcyonacea, Plexauridae.
AAAGAAGCAUGGUUUUUCAAACAGUAUGCUUCACUUUGGUGUUGUGUUCCAGUUUGCUGCUUUGUGGAACUAGAGCAGAAAACCCGGAGGAGGGCGGUCUCAAUUUCGCGCAGGCGAUACUAGCAGUAGAUGCACAGAAAGGGCAGUCUGGUAACAUAAACUACGACACCUUUUGCCAAAAGAAAGUCGACAAGACCCACGAUCAGUUGCUGGGAUGUCAGCUCCCGGCACCUAAUGCUGGCUUCGAGUUGCGCGUUUGUAAAUUGGAAACUGGUACGUAGUCUGUGGUUGUGAUAAUGGUGGUUGUGAGGGGUGAUAAUGGUGGUUGUGGGGGUGAUAAUAAUGGUUGUGAGGGGUGAUAAUGGUGGUUGUGCUGGUGAUAAUGGUGGUUGUGGGGGGUGAUAAUGGUGGUUGUGAUAAUGGUGGUUGUGGGGUGAUAAUGGUGGUGAUAAUGGUGGUUGUGGGGGUGAUAAUGGUGGUUGUGGGGGUGAUAAUGGUG